Nothobranchius furzeri (turquoise killifish) is the source of this 1653-nucleotide non-coding RNA. Lineage: Eukaryota; Metazoa; Chordata; Actinopteri; Cyprinodontiformes; Nothobranchiidae. The record is from RefSeq and is a predicted model, not a curated record.
CGUGCGACUUUGGAGAGCAAUAGAAAUCUCCCAUGUUUGUUGCGCCACCAUGUCAGAGGGUUUUCAUUAGGGUCAAUGGGUUCCUCCUGCAGGUAGCAAGUGAGCUCCAGCUCGGCUCUAACUCUCUUCGGGACGGUUACAGAUGACGUGCUUGUCCGUGACUUCAGCAGGUCUCCAAGCGUUUUUUUCUUUGCCGCUGGUGGCAGCACUGCCUGCUCCAAGGUCUCUGGCUGGGCUGCAGCUGACGCACUGACACCGCUCCCUCCAUCUUCCUUGUGUACUAUCUCCUCAAUCAGCACGGACUUUACCUCUCAGCAUGCGCUGUCGCGAGAUUUAAUCAAGUGCGGUAAUGGCGGUGGCACGUCCUGCAGCGCGGUGGGUUUCUUAAUAUCGCGAUAUUUUCUUCUUGCGGUUACCGCGACAGCCCUAAUACAGAUUUGUCUUUUAAAACUGGUGAAUAUACAAUUUACAGGUAAUGCCUUUAUGCUAUGAGUAUUAGAGCCACUGAUGGAAAAAAAUGUAGAAUUCUGAGAAAAUAAGUCAUAAAUCUGAGUUUAAUCUCAGAGUUCUGACUGGUACCUAAAACAAAAAAAAGGGAAAUUGGGGAAGAUUAUGAGGGGGGAUCAGAAUUCUGACUUAAAUCUUAAAAUUCAGGCUUUUUUUUUUGUUCGUUUGUUUUGAUUUUUUUUUUACAAAAAAAAUUCCUAAAUAGUUUUUUGUUUGUUUGGUUUUAGGUUCAUGAAAAAAGUCAGAAUUCUGACUUUAAUCCCAGAAUUUUGAAAUUAUCUGACUUUUUUUCUCAAUUCUUUUCUUUUUCUUCAGUUACUCUAAUACUCUUAGGCAAUAAGGCAGUAUUAGGGCCACUGAAGGAAACAAUUGAAUACUGAGAUAAAUGUCAGAGUUCUGACUUUAUUUAUUUUAAGAAUUUUUUCUUCUUCAGUGGCCCUAAUACCCCUCCGUAUUAUGUAAUGUUAAACACUUCAAAUUAACUUUUGAAUUCAGCAGUUUAUCAUUGGAUUUAGAUGCAGAUAUCACUGUCUUGGAAAAUUGGUCAGAGCAGUUUGGCAUUAAGUAAAAACUUGACAGUAUUUACACUCUUAAUAAUCUUCUUAGGAAUUACAUGAUGUCCACACAAGGCGUACCACUGUUCUCCAUGCCCUUCCUGUCUAUCUACGUGAGGAAACCUCUGGAUUUUUGAGGACAUGUGUGGAUGAUACCAAUGAGCCGGACCUCGGAUGCAGCAGUUGUCCUCCUGACAACCAUCACCGAUGAUGCCGAGAGUCCAGUUACGUACGACCCAGUGAGAAUCUGUUAUCCUAGAGGGUGAUGUGAUUGUCAACCUCUCCAGCCUUCCUGAUGCCUUCCUGGGCAUGCUCAGUUGAAGUUUCCAUCUCUGCGCGUUCAAGAUGUAAGAAAAAUAACACGAAAGAAAUGCAACAACGAAAACUUCAAAAAGGCAUCAACAACCAAGCAAGUGGAUCCAUAAAAUGGACUGAUUUUUUUAAAGGCAUUUAAAAAAAGUCUUUCAAAAUGGACAGAAUUAACGCGUCAUGUUCAGAACAGUUUGCGUUCUCAUCUUUGAUUAAUCCUGGUAAACAGGUCUGUUUUUGUUCUGUUCUAAUUCUCUCUGUUUAAUAAAUUUAAACAAAAUGA